This 254-nucleotide ribosomal RNA is filed under the name uncultured bacterium. RNAcentral's name for it is "partial 16S ribosomal RNA". It matches the Rfam family "Bacterial small subunit ribosomal RNA", at positions 524 to 777 of the family's 1533-position model. The record is from RNAcentral.
UACGGGGGGGGCAAGCGUUGUUCGGAAUUACUGGGCGUAAAGGGUUUGUAGGUGGCUUGCUAAGUCAGACGUGAAAUCCCUCAGCUUAACUGGGGAACUGCGUCUGAUACUGGAUGGCUUGAGUUUGGGAGAGGGAUGCGGAAUUCCAGGUGUAGCGGUGAAAUGCGUAGAUAUGUGGAGGAAUACCGGUGGCGAAGGCGGCCUCCUGGCUUAAUACUGACACUGAGGUGCGAAAGCGUGGGGAGCAAACAGGG